RNAcentral lists this ribosomal RNA (292 nucleotides) under uncultured bacterium. RNAcentral's name for it is "partial 16S ribosomal RNA". It matches the Rfam family "Bacterial small subunit ribosomal RNA", at positions 505 to 796 of the family's 1533-position model. The record is from RNAcentral.
GUGCCAGCCGCCGCGGUAAUACGUAGGUGGCGAGCGUUAUCCGGAUUUACUGGGUGUAAAGGGCGCGUAGGCGGGAAUGCAAGUCAGAUGUGAAAUCCAAGGGCUCAACCCUUGAACUGCAUUUGAAACUGUAUUUCUUGAGUGUCGGAGAGGUUGACGGAAUUCCUAGUGUAGCGGUGAAAUGCGUAGAUAUUAGGAGGAACACCAGUGGCGAAGGCGGUCAACUGGACGAUAACUGACGCUGAGGCGCGAAAGCGUGGGGAGCAAACAGGAUUAGAUACCCUUGUAGUCC